AUGCCCAUGGACUUCACCAAGCACUUCGUCGUGGUGCCGACGGAGUUCAAGCUCAGGAACAACACCGGCUGCUCCUGGAAGGUGGCGGUCAAGCUGAUGAACGGCAGGGUGACCCUGGAUCAGGGUUGGGCCACCUACGCAGCCGUUCAUCAGAUCAAGAUCGGCUACAUGGUGACGUUCAAGCUCCUCACUCCCGACACCCUCAAGGUCAUCAUCUUCGACAACGAUGGCAUUGAGGUCGUCAACAACUGCGGGAAGCACGACGAAGCCUUCGCCGCCAAGGAGUAG
RNAcentral lists this ribosomal RNA (288 nucleotides) under Triticum aestivum (bread wheat). RNAcentral's name for it is "partial small subunit ribosomal RNA". The record is from RNAcentral. Lineage: Eukaryota; Viridiplantae; Streptophyta; Magnoliopsida; Poales; Poaceae.